This 253-nucleotide ribosomal RNA is filed under the name uncultured bacterium. Its description in RNAcentral is "partial 16S ribosomal RNA". It matches the Rfam family "Bacterial small subunit ribosomal RNA", at positions 524 to 776 of the family's 1533-position model. The record is from RNAcentral.
UACGGAGGGGGCUAGCGUUGUUCGGAAUUACUGGGCGUAAAGCGCGCGUAGGCGGCUUUGUAAGUUAGAGGUGAAAGCCCGGAGCUUAACUCCGGAACUGCCUUUAAGACUGCAUCGCUAGAAUUGUGGAGAGGUAAGUGGAAUUCCGAGUGUAGAGGUGAAAUUCGUAGAUAUCGGGAGGAACGCCAGUGGCGAAGGCGGUCACCUGGGCCGUCCCUGACGCUGAGACGCGAAAGCUGGGGGAGCGAACGGG